RNAcentral lists this RNase P RNA (285 nucleotides) under Candidatus Marsarchaeota G2 archaeon ECH_B_SAG-G16. RNAcentral's name for it is "RNase P RNA component". It matches the Rfam family "Archaeal RNase P". Rfam says of the family: Ribonuclease P (RNase P) is a ubiquitous endoribonuclease, found in archaea, bacteria and eukarya as well as chloroplasts and mitochondria. Its best characterised activity is the generation of mature 5'-ends of tRNAs by cleaving the 5'-leader elements of precursor-tRNAs. Lineage: Archaea; Thermoproteati; Thermoproteota. The record is from RNAcentral.
GUGAGCCGCUGGACGGUUGCCGGGUCUUGGACCUGAGGAAGCUCCGCCCUCCACGUGGAAGCGCGCCACCGAAAGGUGGGCGGGGAGACCCGUGCCUCUGGCACAGAAACGCUCCACCUUCUUGUAGGAUGACAAUGAUUAAGAGCUGAGGACGCAAGAAGGUGUUGAAACGGUCAUGCCGCGCGGAGAAAGGGCAAAAACGCGCCUGUGAGUUCCACGCGAGGCGCGGGUAGCCCGCUUAGUCAAAUACCGUCAAAAACAAAAGGCGGGCUAUGGGCGGCACAC